UGGGGAAUUUUGCGCAAUGGGGGAAACCCUGACGCAGCAACGCCGCGUGGAGGAUGAAGUCCUUCGGGACGUAAACUCCUUUCGAUCGGGACGAUUAUGACGGUACCGGAAGAAGAAGCCCCGGCUAACUUCGUGCCAGCAGCCGCGGUAAUACGAGGGGGGCGAGCGUUGUUCGGAAUUAUUGGGCGUAAAGGGUGCGUAGGCGGUUUGGUAAGUCUGAUGUGAAAUCUAUGGGCUCAACUCAUAGUCUGCAUCGGAAACUGCCGGGCUUGAGUAUGGGAGAGGUGAGUGGAAUUCCUGGUGUAGCGGUGAAAUGCGUAGAUAUCAGGAGGAACACCUGUGGCGAAAGCGGCUCACUGGACCAUAACUGACGCUGAUGCACGAAAGCUAGGGGAGCAAA
RNAcentral lists this ribosomal RNA (400 nucleotides) under uncultured bacterium. RNAcentral's name for it is "bacterial SSU rRNA". It matches the Rfam family "Bacterial small subunit ribosomal RNA", at positions 355 to 772 of the family's 1533-position model. The record is from RNAcentral.